GAUGAGUCGUUAUCCAUCGGAUCCCACCUAGAGGUCGCUCUUGGUGAUGCUGGGACCUUUGCUCAAAUGCAGGCCGACCCCGACAGGCAACGCCUCCUAGGGGAGAGGCCUUUACACGACCCUAUAGCUGACAUCAUGCUCAAGGAGAUCCAGCAUCAAGAGAGAUAUGAAGAACUGUU
Molecule: long non-coding RNA, 179 nt
Organism: Sitophilus oryzae (rice weevil)
Lineage: Eukaryota; Metazoa; Arthropoda; Insecta; Coleoptera; Curculionidae
Exons: 3
Source: RefSeq, a predicted model, not a curated record